ACGCUGGCGGCGUGCCUAACACAUGCAAGUCGAGCGAGAAAGCCCGCAAGGGUGAGUAAAGCGGCGCACGGGUGCGUAACACGUGGGUAAUCUGCCCUGGAGUCCGGAAUAACUCGCCGAAAGGCGUGCUAAUGCCGGGUAUCUCCGCGGGGGCUUCGGCUCCUGCGGGAAAAGGUGGCCUCUGUACACAAGCUACCGCUUUAGGAUGAGCCCGCGUCCCAUCAGCUAGUUGGCGGGGUAAUGGCCCACCAAGGCUACGACGGGUAGCUGGUCUGAGAGGACGAUCAGCCACACUGGAACUGAGACACGGUCCAGACUCCUACGGGAGGCAGCAGUGGGAAUCUUGCGCAAUGGGCGAAAGCCUGACGCAGCAACGCCGCGUGUGUGAUGAAGGUCUUCGGAUCGUAAAGCACUGUCGCGAGGGACGAAUAAGGGUCGGGAUAAUACUCCGGUCCGAUGACGGUACCUCGAGAGGAAGCACCGGCUAACUCUGUGCCAGCAGCCGCGGUAAUACAGAGGGUGCUAGCGUUGUUCGGAAUUAUUGGGCGUAAAGCGCGUGUAGGCGGUUCAGCAAGUCAGGUGUGAAAGCCCUCGGCUUAACCGAGGAAGUGCGCCUGAAACUGCUGGACUUGAGUACCGGAGAGGGCGGUGGAAUUCCCGGUGUAGAGGUGAAAUUCGUAGAUAUCGGGAGGAACACCAGCGGCGAAGGCGACCGCCUGGACGGCUACUGACGCUGAGACGCGAAAGCGUGGGGAGCAAACAGGAUUAGAUACCCUGGUAGUCCACGCUGUAAACGAUGAGCGCUAGGUGUUGUGGGUGUUGACCCCCGCAGUGCCGCAGCUAACGCAUUAAGCGCUCCGCCU
RNAcentral lists this ribosomal RNA (863 nucleotides) under uncultured bacterium. Its description in RNAcentral is "bacterial SSU rRNA". It matches the Rfam family "Bacterial small subunit ribosomal RNA", at positions 33 to 874 of the family's 1533-position model. The record is from RNAcentral.